Molecule: microRNA precursor, 52 nt
Organism: Ovis aries (sheep)
Lineage: Eukaryota; Metazoa; Chordata; Mammalia; Artiodactyla; Bovidae
Rfam family: mir-1302 microRNA precursor family
Source: Rfam
UUUUUAGUAUAAGUGUAUCCCAUGCAAUAUUUGGGAUACACUUAUGCUAAAA